RNAcentral lists this ribosomal RNA (484 nucleotides) under uncultured bacterium. RNAcentral describes it as "partial 16S ribosomal RNA". It matches the Rfam family "Bacterial small subunit ribosomal RNA", at positions 30 to 507 of the family's 1533-position model. The record is from RNAcentral.
AUUGAACGCUGGCGGCAGGCCUAACACAUGCAAGUCGAGCGGGUGAAGGGAGCUUGCUCCUGGAUUCAGCGGCGGACGGGUGAGUAAUGCCUAGGAAUCUGCCUGGUAGUGGGGGAUAACGUCCGGAAACGGGCGCUAAUACCGCAUACGUCCUGAGGGAGAAAGUGGGGGAUCUUCGGACCUCACGCUAUCAGAUGAGCCUAGGUCGGAUUAGCUAGUUGGUGGGGUAAAGGCCUACCAAGGCGACGAUCCGUAACUGGUCUGAGAGGAUGAUCAGUCACACUGGAACGGAGCCACGGUCCAGACUCCUACGGGAGGCAGCAGUGGGGAAUAUUGGACAAAGGGCGAAAGCCUGAUCCAGCCAUGCCGCGUGUGUGAAGAAGGUCUUCGGAGUGUAAAGCACUUUAAGUUGGGAGGAAGGGCAGUAAGUUAAUACCUUGCUGUUUUGACGUUACCAACAGAAUAAGCACCGGCUAACUUCGUG